Molecule: long non-coding RNA, 1423 nt
Organism: Raphanus sativus (radish)
Lineage: Eukaryota; Viridiplantae; Streptophyta; Magnoliopsida; Brassicales; Brassicaceae
Exons: 6
Source: RefSeq, a predicted model, not a curated record
GCUGUUAGUCCAUGUGAGUCUCCAUUCUCCACGCUGUGUUGUCGUAACCCUAUCUUCUUCAUCGCUUACCUUUCGACUCCCACCCCUUCCAUUUCUCAUCUCUCCCAAUCCGUUUCAAGGAUUAACUUCACCGCAAUUUCUCAACUUCAUCUCUCUCAAGGCCGAUGGACCCUAAUUUUUCUGUAUCGAAGAAAUGAGCUCUCUCUCUCUUUCGUACGCCGAUGAAUCUUUGACGUCUUAUCUUCCUUUCACCAUCUGAAACGGUCCGGCGUCGUGUUUACUCCAUUGAUUCACUCCCCCCCCACGAUGUCUUCUUCAAUGAUUUGUUCCGAUCUACAAGCCGGUGUUUUUAUGUAUAAAUAUAUGUGAUUAUUUCUCUUCUUGGACUCCAUCUUUGAGCUUGCUUGAUUGAUCAUGAUAAACUAUUGUUUCGUUAAUUUGUUUUUACAUUGUAUCUUAGGGGCAGAGAGUAUGUGAGAGCAAUAGAUAGUGAGAGAGGAGAUAAUGAAUGGUGGUGAUGAGAUCAGAGCUUCGUCGUUUUAGAUCGGAGAUUCUCAGUUCAGGCGAAGAAGUUCGAGAAGGCUGUACUGCUUACAACCAAGGGACUGGACGAGGAACGUCUGUGUUAGAAUUGGUUGCUGCUUUUAAAAAAGCUUCUCGCAAGAAAAUACCUAUCAAGCUUUGUCCGAGAAGGGCAGGAGAUGCAACUGCAGUUUAUGCUUCAACAGAGAGAACUGAGAAAGAACUUGGCUGGAAGUAGAUUGUCUUUUAUUCAACUGAGCCAAGUGUUUCACGAAAAUCAAAGGUGGCUUGAGGUACUUCAGUUCUUUCAGUGAGUGUCAACCUCCACAUGAGAAACAGAGGAUGCAACUUAACAGAGAACUGGGUUUAGGUCCAAGACGGAUCAAGUUUUGGUUUCAGAACCGAAGAAUACAGAAUAAGGCACAACAAGAAAGAGUUGAUAGUUGUGCACUCAAGGAAGAGAAUGAUUGGAUUCAUUGCGAAAACAUUGCCAUUCGAGAAGCUCACAAACACACCAUUUGCCACAACUGUGGUGAUGCUCCUGUUCAUGACGACUCUUUGAUGAACAGAAGCUUUGAAUCUAAAAUGCUUCUAGCUUUUUCUUUACCAUCUCAUGUUCAAAACAAUGAUACUUUGUUCAUAGAGAAGCUCCUCUCAGGCUGUCCUGUUCUUGAAGAUUUCACGGUGUGUAGGGUUUUUGAUGACAGUGUACCUGUUCAGCGUGUGAGAUCUCAGUGUCUUAAGAGGUUUUGUGUAAAGUUUGGCCGUCAAAGAAGAAUUUUUGGUAAAGAGUAUGCGGUUGGUGCCAGUCUAAUGAGAACUGUUAGUAUAAAAUCUUUUUUACUAUUUUUUACUAUAUGUUGUUGAGACCUCACAAGAAAAGUAAGAAAAUAUGAGGAAA